UCAUGGCGGUGUGCUGAAGAAGACCACUGGCCUUGUGGGAUUGGCUGUAUGCAAUACUCCACACGAGAGGCUAAGAAUAUUGUACACAAGGAUUCUUGAUGCUCUUGAGGAAAUCCCUAAAAAUGCAGCAUAUAGAAAGUAUACAGAAGAGAUUAGAAAUGAGAAGCUGGCUAUGGUUAAAGCGGAACCAGAAGUUAAAAAAUUAGAAGACCAACUUCAAGGCAGUCAAUUAGAAGAAUGAUUCUUUAGGCUGAACAUGAACUAAAUCUGGCAAGAAAAAUGAGGGAGUGGAAACCAUGGGAGUCAUCAGUGGAAGAGCCUCCUGCUGAUCAGUGGAAAUGGC
Molecule: long non-coding RNA, 343 nt
Filed under: Homo sapiens (human)
Lineage: Eukaryota; Metazoa; Chordata; Mammalia; Primates; Hominidae
Description: non-protein coding lnc-SPIDR-4:1
Source: RNAcentral